GUUGAGCUCUGGGAGGCGAGCACGCAAGCGUCAGGGCUCCGCGCCACCUGCUGGCCAGACGAGGUAGUGCGGCGCCCGCUGGGCGAACUCCUGGCGCUCCGCUCUUCAAAGUGAUCCACACCAGACCUGAAGUUAAGUCAGCCCUGCUAAGAAAAGACCGAAUUAUCUUUCUCUACAUAGAGAAUUAAAGGGUGAAACUGUUACCACAUGGGGACCAAGGGUAUGAAGCUGUAAUGUACUGGAAGGAAGAAAAAGCAGCUCGGAGCUGCCUCAGGAAGUCGCUCUCAACAGUCACGGAACCGCCCGCUGUUGUUACUGUUAUAGAGCGCUCAAUCGUAUGAGCCUCCGCCUCACAACGUCUAGAUGUCCUUUGGGCACACUCCAGGCUGAUCGGCAAAGACACAGAACAAGCUGGGAGACCCAGCUGCCAGAACGGCUCCUUCACUCACUGGCUUCGCAGCUGGGCGCCCACAGGAGUUUCUCUCCAGCCCCGGCAUGCACUCUUACGCAGGCUCCCUUUACCUGUGUGUGCACUUGAGCUGUCUGGUGGCCACGCAGAAAACUGACCGAGGCUCCCUGAACAACAGAAGCUAAAGCUUGAGAGUGUUGCCUUCCACUUCCUUAUGAAGCACCUGGGGUCCUCAAGUCAGUCUGCCCCAAAGUAGAAACACGCCAGGAACACUAGCAAGUGAGGACAAGUAGAAAGAACUGGGUCCUCCAGUGCAGACAAGGUGACUGGAAAGGAAGGACAGAAUUGCUUAGAGCAAUUUGGGGAGGCUCAUGCCUGUGCAAGGGUUUGCAAGACUUGACUGAAAUUGACAAAGAGCAAGACACAAGGUGCAGAUGAAAGGAUCUGUCUUGGAGAGCGAGGCCAAGGAAUCCAUGAGGGAUUGAACACAGGACCUUGCGCUUUCGAGGCAGGUGGCAGAACCGCUGAGCUAAAUCCCCAGCCCUGCAUUUCUAAGAGUAUAAAAUAUAAAUGUAUUCCAUAACAACAGUAUAGUAAUUUAGUAUAUGAAUGUUAAUAUUAACCC
This 1034-nucleotide long non-coding RNA is filed under the name Heterocephalus glaber (naked mole-rat). Its description in RNAcentral is "lncRNA (ENSHGLG00100045943.1)". The record is from RNAcentral. Lineage: Eukaryota; Metazoa; Chordata; Mammalia; Rodentia; Bathyergidae.